CCUUACCUGGCCUUGACAUCCAGAGAACUCUCCAGAGAUGGAUUGGUGCCUUCGGGAACUCUGAGACAGGUGCUGCAUGGCCGUCGUCAGCUCGUGUCGUGAGAUGUUGGGUUAAGUCCCGUAACGAGCGCAACCCCUAUCCCUGGUUGCUAGCAGGUAAUGCUGAGAACUCCAGGGAGACUGCCGGUGACAAACCGGAGGAAGGUGGGGAUGACGUCAGGUCAUCAUGGCCCUUACGGCCAGGGCUACACACGUGCUACAAUGGCGCGUACAGAGGGCUGCCAACUCGCGAGAGUGAGCCAAUCCCUUAAAACGCGUCGUAGUCCGGAUCGGAGUCUGCAACUCGACUCCGUGAAGUCGGAAUCGCUAGUAAUCGCGAAUCAGAAUGUCGCGGUGAAUACGUUCCC
Molecule: ribosomal RNA, 407 nt
Filed under: uncultured bacterium
Lineage: Bacteria
Description: bacterial SSU rRNA
Rfam family: Bacterial small subunit ribosomal RNA
Source: RNAcentral